Non-coding RNA from Callithrix jacchus (white-tufted-ear marmoset), 26590 nucleotides. The record is from RefSeq and is a predicted model, not a curated record. NCBI's taxonomy places the organism in Eukaryota, Metazoa, Chordata, Mammalia, Primates, Cebidae.
UAGAAGACAUUUAAGCAAAUAAAAUUACAUUAGGAGAAAAUCUUAUGAACAAGUAGAAAGAAGCUAGUCAAGAAGAAAAAAAAGUGAUGUAAGUUUUCUGUUAUAAAAUUAUAUCACUCGGGGCAAAAGAACUUGAAAUCAUAACCAAUAGUCUCUCCGACCACAGUGCAAUCAAAUUAGAACUCAGGAUUAAGAAACUCACUCAAAAACACACAAUAAUUUGGAAAUUGUAACAGAGAAAGAAAGGGCUUUGAAAUAGGAAGAGAGGAAGUCAAAUUGCCUCUGUUUGCAGAUGACACAAUUGUAUAUUUAGAAAACUCCAUCAUUUCAGCCCCAAAACUCCUUAACAUGAUAAACAACUUCAGCAAAGUCUCAGGAUACAGUGUGUGAUGCUCCCCUCCCUGUGUCCAUAUGUUUUCAUUCUUCAACACCUACCUAUGAGUGAGAAAAUGUGAUGUUUGAUUUUCUGUUCUUGUGUCAGUUUGCUGAGAAUGAUGAUUUCCAGAUUCAUCUGUGUCCCUAUAAGGACAUGAACUCAUCAUUUCUUAUGGCGACACAGUAUUCCCAUAGUAUUCCAUGGUGUAUGUGUGCCACAUUUUUUUGUCUAGUCUAUCAUCGAUGGGCAUUUUGGUUGGCUCCAGGUCUUUGCUAUUGUAAACAGAGUCAUAAUGAACAUAUGUGUGCAGGUGUCUUUAUAAUAGAAUGAUUUAUAAUGUUUUGGGUAUAUACCCAGUAAUGGGAUUGCUGGGUCAAAUGGAAUUUCUAUUUGUAGAUCCUUGAGGAAUUGCCACACUGUCUUCCACAAUGGUUGAACUAAUUUACACUCCCACCAGCAGUGUAAAGGUGUUCCUAUUUCUCCACAUCCUUUCCAGCAUCUGUUGUCUCCAGAUUUUUUAAUGAUUGCCAUCUAACUGGAGUGAGAUGGUAUCUCAACGUGGUUUUGAUUUGCAUUUCUCUAAUGACCAGUGGUGAUGAGCAUUUUUUCAUGUUUGUUGGCCUUAUACAUCUUCUUUUGACAAGUAUCUGUUCAUACACUUUGCUCAUUUUUGAAUGGGUUUGUUUUUUUUCUUGUAAAUCUUAGUUCUUUGUAGAUUCUGGAUAUUAGCCCUUUGUCAGAUGGGUAGAUUGCAAAAACUUUUUCCAAUUCUGUUGGUUGCCAAUUCACUCUAAUGGCUGUUUCUUUUGCUAUGCAGAAGUUCUGGAGUUUAAUUAGGUCCCAUUUGUCUAUUUUGGCUUUUGUUGCCAAUGCUUUUGUUGUUUUAGUCAUGAAGUCUUUGCCUAUGCCUGUGUCCUGAAUGGUUUUUGCCUAGGUUUUCUUCUAGAGUUUUUAUGGCAUUAGGUCUUAUGUUUAAAUCUUUAAUCCAUCUGGAGUUAACUUUAGUGUAGGGUGUCAGGAAGGGGUCCAGUUUCUGCUUUCUGCACAUGACUAGCCAGUUUUCCCAACACCAUUUAUUAAACAGUGAAUCCUUUCCCCAUUGCUUGUUUUUAUCAGAUUUGUCAAAGAUCAGAUGGUUGUAGAUGUGUGGCAUUGCAUUCGAGGUCUCUGUUCUGCUCCAUUGGUCUAUAUCUCUGUUUUGGUACAAGUACCAUGCUGUUUUUAUUACUGUAGCCUUGUAGUAUAGUUUGAAGUCAGGUAGUGUGAUGCCUCCAGCUUUGUUCUUUUUCUUAGGAUUGUGUUGGCUAUGCAGGCUAUUUUUUGGUUCCAUAUGAAGUUUAGGGGUUUUUUUUUUUCCAGUUCUGUGAAGAAGGUCAUUGGUAGCUUGAUGGGGAUAGCAUUGAAUCUAUAAAUUACUUUGGGCAGUAUGGCCAUUUUCACGAUAUUGAUUCUGCCUAACCAUGAGCAUGGAAUGUUUUUCCAUUUGUUUGUGUCCUCUCUUACUUCGUUGAUCAGUGGUUUGUUGUUCUCCUUGAAGAGGUCCCUUAGGUUCCUUGUUAGUUGUAUUCCUAGGUAUUUUAUUCUCUUUGUAGCAAUUGUGAAUGGGAGUUCGCUCUUGAUUUGGCUGUUAGUCUGUUAUUGGUGUAUAGUAAUGCUUGUGAUUUCUGCAUAUUUAUUGAUUUUGUAUUUUGGGACUUUGCUGAAGUUGCUUAUCAGUUUAAGGAGAUUUUGGGCUGAGACGAUGGGGUUUUCUAAAUAUACAAUCAUGUCAUCUGCAAACAGAGGCAAUUUGACUUCCUCCUUUCUUAAUUGAAUACCCUUUAUUUCUUUUUCUUGCCUGAUUGCACUGGCUUGUUAAUUUUCUGUCUCAUUGAUCUAAUAUAGAGAGUGGAGUGUUAAAGUUUCCCACUAUUACUGUGUAGGAGUCUAAGAGCCUUUGUAGGUCAUUAAGAACGUGUUUUAUGCAUCUGUGUGCUCCUGUAUUGUGGGCACAUAUACAUUUAUAACCCUUAGCUCUUCUUGUUGCCAUGAUCCUUUUACCAUUAUGUAAUGCCCUUCUUUGUCUCUUUUCAUCUUUGUUGGAUAAAGUCCUUUUUAUCAGAGACUAGGAUUGCAACUCCUAUUUCCCUCUCCAUUUGCUUAGUAAGUCUUCCUCCAUCCCUUUAUUUUGAGCCUACCUGUGUCCUUAGACAUGAGAAGGGUUUCCUGAAUAUAGCACAUCGAUGGGUCUUGGCUCUAUUCAAUUUGCCAGUUUGUGUCUUUUGAUAGGGGCAUUUAUCCCAUUUACAUUUAAGGUUAAUAUUGUUAUGUGUGAGUUUGAUCCUGCCAUUUUGAUGCUAGCUGGUUGUUUUGCCUGUUAGUUGAUGCAGUUUCUUCAUUGUGUUGAUGGUCUUUACCAUCUGGUACAUUUUUGGAGUGGCUGGUACUGGUUGUUCCUUUCCAUGUUUAGUGCUUCUUUCACAAGCUCUUAUAAGGCAGAUCUGGUGGUGAGGAAAUCUCUCAGCAAUUUCUUGUCUGUAAAGAAUUUUAUUUCUCCUUUGCUUAUGAAGCUUAGUUUGGCUGGAUAUGAAAUUCUAGGUUGAAAGUUCUUUUUUUUUGAGACAGAGUUUCACUCUUCUUACCCAGGUUGGAGUGCAAUGGCAUGAUCUCGGCUCACUGCAACCUCCACCUCCUGAGUUCAGGCAAUUCUCCUGUCUCAGCCUCCAGAGUAGCUGGGAUUACAAGCACACGCCACCAUGCCUAGCUAAUUUUUUUGCAUUUUUAGUAGAGACGGGGUUUCAUCAUGUUGACCAGGAUGGUCUCAAUCUCUUGACCUCGUGAUCCACCCACCUCAGCCUCUCAAAGUGCUGGGAUUACAGGCCUGAGCCACUGCACCUGGCUGAAAGUUCUUUUCUUUAAGGAUGUUGAAUAUUGACCCCCACUCUUUUCUGGCUUGUAGGGUUUCUGCCAAGAGAUCUGCUGUUUGAUAGGCUUCCAUUUGUGGAAAACUCGACCUAUCUCUUUGGCUGCCCUUAGCAUUUUUUCCUUCAUUUCAACCCUGGUGAAUCUGAUGGAUUAUGUGCCUUGGGGUUGCUCUUCUUGAGGAAUAUUUUUAUGGUGUUCUGUGUAUUUCCUGGAUUUGAAUAUUGGCUUGCUAAAGUCUCUGACAUGUCCUAGAGGUAUUUUCACCAUUGUCUUGGGGAUUUACAACUGCUUCUUUGUUUCUUAUGAAAUAUCUGCAGCUGGCUUGAAUUUCUCCUCAGAAAAUGGGAUUUUCUUUUCUAUCAAUUGUCAGGUUGCAAAUUUUUCAAACUUUUAUGUUCUGUUUUCCUUUAAAAACUGAAUGCUUUUAACAGGAUCCAAAUCAACUCUUGAAUGCUUUGCUGUUUAGAAAUUUCUUCUGCCAGAUACCCUAAACCAUCUCUCUCAGGUUCAAAGUUCCACAAAUCUGUAGAGCAGGGGCAAAAUGCCACCAGUCUCUUUGCUAAAACAUAACAAGAGUCAUUUUUGCUUCGGCUCCUAAGUUCCUCAUCUUCAUCUGAGACCACCUCAGCCUGGAUUUCAUUAUCCAUAUCAUUAUAAGUAUUCUGGUCAAAGCCAUUCAAGAAGUCUCUAGGAAGUUCAAAGCUUUCCCAUAUUUUUCUGUCUUUUUUUGAGCCCUCCCAGCUGUCUGGUACUGACCUCACAUGACUUUAAAGUCAAGUACCCCAUUUCUGGAAUUUUAUUUCCCACUCCCCUCCACAGUGUUAGGCACAUUCUUGGUCUUGUGUAGCCCCCCAACUAAAAACCCGAAGUGAAAGCAGUUCUCAGAAAGCUGGAAGUAGUUCUCAGAGACUCGGAAGUAGUUCUCAGAGACUCGGAAGUAGUUCAUGCAGAGUCUUCUGGGGACUGUGUUUUACCUGUUUGUGUGAUUGUUUGCUUUUGAAAGGAGGCCAUCUGGUGACUAAAGCCAAGAACAGACUGUAUUUUUAUUUUUUAACAUUUUGAACCUGGUGCCUCUCAACCCUUAUCUACUCAUAACAGUAAUGACAUUAAACUUCCACUGUCUCAGUGGCCCUAUCUUUAUAAUGGGACUACUUCCUCUAUCUUAAGGAAACAUUGAAAGGCUGGCGAGAGUGUAUACAUUUAAUAUUCAAUUAAAACCAGAUACAAACCCUACAUAAUAAUAUAAACUUUUUCUGCUGGACAAGCCAUGAAUAUAAGUAGGCACUGUGGAGUCUUGCCUAUUUGGACUGGAGUAGCAGACACAGAGAUCCCAAGAGGUGCUAAAAGGAGUAGUGCAGGAACAAGUUUCCAUGGUACCUAGGCAUUCGUGAGUGGGCCUCUGAUUGCAAAUACCUUAUUAAUAGAACAAGUAGGCAUAUCAGAUAAGUGCAGAUAUAUAAGACAUAUAUUCAAAUAUAUUUGUAUAAUGGAAACUACCAUACUUGGAAUAAGCAAAAGGCAAUCUAAGUACAAAAAUCCUCACGAGACAUCACAAAUCAUUAAGAAUUAAGAGAUUGUGAUUAGUUAUUACAUAUUAUCCUUGCAUUUCAAACUCCCCUAAAUAGACUUGAUCUAGACAUGUAAGCGUGUAGAAAACCUGAGUCAUGAAAUGAAUGAAAGAUUAAACCCUAAAUUCAUGAGAAUGAUCUUGUGACUCAGGCUGCCUGUGUGUGCAUGUACGCUUGGAUGUAUGUGCAGGAAUACAUGGGUGUGUCGAGGGAACGAGGUAGGCAGGAGAUUGCCCAUAGAGGCACUUCAUCUUUUAUUCUGUUUUGUUUCUUUUUCCUGUUUAGACUCACUUAUAACAAAAUGACUUAUAUAGUUAAAGAAUUGUAAAAAUGUUUGUACUUUUAUUUCCUCAAAAAUUAGGAAACCUCGAUUGUGACAUAAUUGUGUCCCUAAAUAUUCACUGUGCUUUGUUCAGCUUGCUACUUGCUGUAGUCAUCUUCUUAGGGCUUCCUGUUUCUAUGUGACUCCAUACCUUGCCUUCCUGUGCUUGUUUUUGAUGACCUCUUGGGACAUUCUUUCUCUUUUAGAGGAAUUUCAAUCAUUGGGAAGGCUUGGCCCUGUAAGACUGAGUUGCUGGGGAUGCCUUGCACUCAACUUCCUUUCUGGAAGAUGGAGAGUCUCCGAAGCAGGUGGCUGCCUCAGGUUAGAACAGCAUAGAGUCCCCAGUUGCCCCUGCUUUCUUUUUGUAUCUUGACCAAAAAUCAUGGAAUGUCUUGACUGCUCUGUGACCCAGCCAGCUGCAGUAUUUUCCCAGCAGGCUUGAACCCAAAUCAAGGCUUUGAAUAUUCCCAGGAACUGAUAAAGGUAUCUAGGUUUACUAGGAAAAAACCUGACUCUGACCCUGAACCUGAGCCAAAUUCCUUAAACACUCAUGUAAACUCCAUACCCUGCCCCUCUCCUGCAGACAUGUCUAAAUAGAACACCACUUUCUCUUAGCGUUCAUUGCCAGGAUUGCUGUAGCCCUCUGUAAGUUCCCCUAAUAAAUACUUUGGAUUGAUCACCUUAUUGUUCACUGCUUCUUUCUCUGAAAUCCAAACAAAUUCCAUCUCAGAACAGUUUGGGGCAUUCUUUUGUGAGGAUUCCACUGCUUUUGGGGCAACUCUAGCCAUGGGUUCAGUGGGACAAAAUAAGUAGCAAAUAUUAGGUGUCUAAGGAAGACCAUUCUGCUCAGUGAGUGUAGAGAUGUGAGUGUAGACAUCACUCCUCGCUCAAAGCUUCUGGGGUAUUUCAGGGCUGGGUCUGGAGAAUGGGAAACUCAUCUUUUUCAUGUCUGAAGGGUUUGUCUGUCUGGAGCUAACUUGGCUUGAGCUUUAAUCAGAAUUUAAAUAAAUGCCUUCACCAAAGACAUCUGAGUAUGAUGGACACGCAGGAUGAUUUGGGACUAAGACUGGUUUUAGCAAAUAAUAGUUUAGAGCGAUGCUAUCUCUAAGCAGCAAGGUGGUGGCUGGAGUAGGUGGCCUUGCGAAGUACUUUCACAGAUAAGAGUUUUGGAGUUGGAAGCGGCCUUAAUGGAAGAUAAAUGCUCUAAUCCAAUCUUCUCAUUAUACAAAUGAGAGAACUUCAGCCCAGAAAGGUUGAAGUGACUUUCUUUAGGUCACACUGCUGGUUUGUGGCCAGCUGGGGUACUGGACAUAAAUAUGAUACUGAAGAGACAGGAUUUGUGAGGCCGUCUGUUACCACUUCACCGUUUUUAUUUAGCAGAAUCCAGUGUGCCUACAUUAGCAAUGUUAUAUGAAUAUAGACUGUUAAGUGGGAUGUGGACAUACUUCAUUAGGGAGACGUGGACAGUAUAAUGGUAUCUAUUCAAAUGAGUCUUCUCAUCUGUAAAGUGAGAGUUUUGCAGUAGACGAACUUUAAAUUCCUUCCUCUUUGAAAGUCUCUGAGUUGAUGGGAUCCUGCUUGUGUGAUUAAAGAUACUCGUGCUAAAUUUAGAUGCUUCUUAGACCCACCUCUUGGUGAGAAGGGAGUACUUGAGUUGGAGUCUGAACACUGAGUGCUACCUGUGCCACUUACUUGUCUUGUCACUAUGGAAGAGUCACCUUUCUUAACUCAGUUUUCUCCUCUGUAAAUGGAGAGUUAAUGAUGUCUUGCCUUCUACCUCCCGAGUCCCUCAUCUGAAUCAUGAAGCAUAGAAAAUGAUAUAAAUGAUUAUUUCCUCAAUUCUCCUGAGGGUGGUGCAUAGAGAGUACCAUGCACAGAAGAGACUUAAUUUGUAAUGUAUAUGCAUGAACAUAUGUAUGAAGGUGUUUGCCUGAGGGCAUUAGGGAUAACUUUCUCCUGGGAAUCCCAGUUGAGCAAGGCCACUGUGUAAUCAAUUGUGUAGCACACUCGACAACAUGUACAAUGAUAAAAAUGUAAGGGAUUAUUUUCCUUUGUAUUCAACUGUUAAUCACUGUUAAUUAUAUCUACAAAUCCCCUGCCUGGAGAGCAUGUGUGAAGGUCUGAUGGUUCCUUAGUGUAAGAAUGAGGUGGUAUAACACUAUGUCCAUCAGUACAGGUUAUGGGUGGUACAGUGUGAGGAACUCUUUGCUCCUUAUCAUUCUAUUAGAAACUUUUCAUAGUGUCUCAUAGUGGCUUCAUUCUCCCCAGAUUCACUCCUUUCCAUGUGCACUUGUAAAGUAAGAGGCUACCUGGAAUUGAGGUUGGCUGGGAAAUAAAGUAAGGCUCAUAGGUAAGGUUGAGAGAAUCUGAGUCAUUGACAUCCAUGAAGCUCUUAGAGUGAGUGCCUUGAUGGUUCUUGUGUGGGCAUGAUUAUAGAUUUGGUGACUUGCAAACUAAUCACUGUUACUAGUUAUUGAUGCUUUCAAUGUGUCAGCUCUGUGCUGAGCACUUUUCAUAUAUUAUCUAAUUUGAAUCUUAGAAUAAGUUGCAGAUGUAGACAUUAAAAUGGUCACUUUACAAAUAGAACUGAGGACUAGGAUGGACAAGCAUUUUCUCAAGUAAUACUAUUAAUUCAUUGCUAAUAGCUAGUGGAUAGGGCCAUAUCAUGUCACAACUCCAUUGGGGGAGGGGGUAAUCAUUCAUAUUGUAUUUUUUGAAUUUUUUUUUUUAAAUUUCUAGAUGGAGUUUUGCUCUUGUUACCCAGGCUGGGGUGCAAUGGCACAAUCUCGGCUCACCGCAACCUCCGCCUCCUGGGUUCAAGCAAUUCUCCUGCCUCAGCCUCCUGAGUAGCUGGGACUAUAGGCAUGCGCCACCAUGCCCAGCUAAUUUUUGUAUUUUUAGUAGAGAUGGGGUUUCACCUUGUUGACCAGGAUGGUCUCGAUCUCUUGACCUCGUGAUCUACCCGCCUCAGCCUCCCAAAGUGCUGGGAUUAUAGGCAUGAGCCACCAUGCUCGGUCCUUGUAUUCUCUGAAUCUUAUGCCUGGAGGUAAAAGUGUGAAUAGUGCUUGCUGGAAAGUGUGAAUUGUACUCACUGGAGCUGUGCGGUAGCCUGAAGAAUGACAGAACCGAGGUAUGAAUUCACUUCCAUCUGACCCUAAGUUCUGUUCUGAGCCUCUACAGCCCAUGCUGUCCCUUCACCACGAAAGGUUGUUCUAAGUGUUGAUGGGUGGGAGUGGGCAGCACCUACUUUCUGCAUCUCAGUCCAUCUGUGAUCUAGGUGUCGAGCCUAGUCAAGCUGAACCAUUGAGAGAGCCACUUCUGACGUCCAGCAGGGCACUUUGCUAGACAGACUGAUGAGUAAGAGGAUGGGGAGGGAGUGUGUGUUGGUAUGUGUGUAAUUGUGGUCCCAUCUGCCGGGGUGGUGAUUUUUUUUUUUUACUUUAAAUACUUACAGUUUUAUUGUCAAUUAUACUUAAAGUGGGAGAAAUAUUGUUAUGAAUUGGAAUACUUAAUGAAAACUAGACAUGAAACAUGGUUUCAUAAUUACAUAUGUUAAAAUGCACCUUUACAAAAUCUAAGAGUAUUCUUAAAUGUUCUGGAACUGCUUCUCUGUCUCUGGAUGGAGUCUGAAGAGAAUAAAGGAUAGAGUGUAGAGGUGGGGAAAAUAAGCACUGAGGUGGCUUUCUAUCCAUGUCUAUCUAAAAUAAUACUUCUGCUAUGUACAUUGCUAAAACACCCACUAUCCCUACAGUUUUUAAGGUGAAAGAUUAGAAAACCUUAGGACCACGACUGGGAGACCUGUUAGUGAACUAUCUCCUUAUCUUCAUGUCUGUGUGUGUGUGUGCACGCGUGUGCAUGUGCACGCAUGUGUGUAUUGUGUGAGUAGUACAGGGGGAUGUGCAAGGAGUGUCUCUCCAUGGCUGCCUCUCUUUGCCUGGCCAAGUGGGUAUAUUCUCUGCAGGGUGGGGAAAGACUCAUAAAGUCUGCACUCCACUUUUUUGAGUGACCACGUGGAGCUGAGAAUGGAGAACACGAUUGGGAGUCAGAAGACUUGGGUGUUGGCAAAUGUUGAACCUGUAUGAAUUCUAGGCCCCUCAGAAAACAAAAAGGUAAGAAAGAUGUUACUCAUUUCUUUGGACAAAUGUGAAGCCCUGGCUUUCACACAGUCUAGGACAAAGCCAUCUGUAAGCCAUGCCUUGGAAGGGAAAGAGGCUUUAGUGCUUUUUACCAUUGUGGUUAUUUGAAAGGAUUUUUCUGGCCAGAAGUCCCCUUCUUAUUGAAUCUUGUCACGUAGACUCUCAAACUUACACACCUUACUGAAGGCGCCUCCCCUCCCCAAAAUUAACUUUCAGUUAUACCUUAUUCUAAUUAUGCACUUCAAUGCAGUUAAAAAAGAGACUGAAUUUUUCUAUUUGUUCUCCAUGUUCAUUAACGAUCUCUUUCAACACAUCACAUUUGGAUUUAAUUUGAUUUUGGAGAUUAUAGAAGAAAAGAAGCUGUGAAAAGCAGGUUGUUAUCUUAUAUACUGAGUGAAUCACCAAUGCAGUGAUAUCAUAUGCUGGCCACAUUGCCUCUGUGCUCUGUAUGCAGGGAUGGCUCCUUGCCGGCUCUUUGGAGGUGUUAGUUUUAAUCCACAUUCUCCUGGUCAGAAUUCAAGUUGUUUCACAGGGCGAUGCGGAGAAUCUACAUUUCACCAAGUACUGCUAGAUAAUUCUCAUUUCCACCUGGAAAAUGACAAAAGGUCCUUGUAGUCUACUCUUCUGUCAGUUCAUGGUCAAAUGUCUGUCCUCUGGGUGGCACCUCAGGUAGGUCAUGGGUGGAUGUGCUACUUUUCUGGAUGGAUGUGGCUGCUAGUUGUUGGGUAGAAUUGUGCGACCCAAAUCCAGUGGUGUGUUCUUCCCUCUCAUUUUCUAGAAGCUUUUACAAACAGCAGCAGUUCUGUGUUCCGAUGGAGCUAUGUAGGAGCCAUAGCACUGGAAGGCCAGGAGCACAGGAUAGACAGCUUCUCAAAGCUCGUUUCUUUCAACAGCUCCCUCCAUACCUAAACCUUGGAGAUGUUCAAAGCAGUUCAUGACCAUAUUUUGACUUCUGUAGAAAACCAGCUUAAGAGUUCUCUCUCCAGCCUUUUAAGAAUGAGUUUCAACAGUUUGAAACCAAAUCUCUAUGCUUGAAAACUGAGUAUAUGUCCAUGUAAGGAACUCCAGGCAGGUGCUGCUGGAGGAAGGGGAGUCUCCAGAAACUUUCUGCCCUGAGUGGUUACCUCUGCUGCUUGGGGUUAAGACAGCCCCUGCCUGGUACCAUCAGAACGCCAGUACUUCCUAGUCUUCGUAAGAACAGUGGCUCUGGAAAGACAUGGCCUGUUUGUAAAGCUGUGGGUGGGAUCAAGGAGUUAUGUGGUCCAGUUGCCAGACCCUUGGGUGGGAAGAUCUCAGAGGAAGGGCAGUGGGCAGAUGGAUCAGAGCGGUACAGAGAAAUGACCUUGGCUCCUGAUUCAUGGUUGUGCCUGGACCGACAAGGGUUUGUGGAAACUUUCACUGGGGAUACGCGAAGCCUGGAGUUAGGGUGCCUGUGGUGGUGCUACAUUUCAAACAGGGUCAUUCAAGUCCUUUCCUGGUUUGUGCUGUCAAAUGACAUUAGGGAUUUUCAGCAUUCAGGUACUCAUGUUUACUGUUACAUGAUCACAUAGAGCAACACAGUGAACACUCACUGGAACACAGGCCCUGAACUGCUUGGGUUCUACCACUCACUAGCUUUGUGACCUUGGGCAAGUUAGGCUUUCUGGGCCUCUGCGUAUUCAUUUUUCAAAUAAGGAUAAUAGUAGUACCUACUUCAAUGGGUUGCUGGGAGUGUUAAAUAAUUUAAUCCAUGAAAAAUGCUUAGAAGACACUUUAUAUGUAGCAAGCGCUCAAUAAAAUUUUCUUAUAAUCGUGAUCAUCCUUUCUGGUAUGUUCCAUGUGGCUUUGGUCCCACCAUACUCUAAACACUGUGGACAGGGAUUAUGGCUGUUGUACGUAGUCUGAGCACCUAGCACAGCUGUUGUUUUUAUUCAGCAAAUAUUUAUGGAACACUGACUUUAUGCCAGGCAUGGCUCCAGGUGUGGGGAUGAACAGUGAGUGAAGGCAGACUUGGUCCCUGCUCUUCAAGAGGCUGAUGCACCCUUGCUGCUCAGUGAACAUUGGUUGAAACAAAUAGAUUAUACUACCGGUAAGUCUCUGUAAUGCAAUAUCUGUAGAGAAAGUGAAAAGAGAUGACACUUUGGUGUCGGAGAGGUCUGAGUUCAAAUCCUACUCAGCAACUUUCUGGCUGUGUGACUUUAGGGAAGCUUCUUGACUUCUCUGUUCAUCAGUUUUCUCAUCUGCAAAAUGGACACCAUAAUAGUACUUCCUCAUAUGUUUGUUUUUAGUAAUAAAUGAAAACACUGCUGAGUAUUAAAACAUCCCCUGCCCUCUUUUGCACUGAACACCUGUUACUUGGGGCACCCUUCUCCCUGCUCCUCCAAAGCUUCUCACUAGUAAAGUGUAGCAGAAUCUGUGGAUCUGAAGACUGACACGGAAUAAAUUCACUCAUUCAUUCACUAAUUCUUUCAUUCAGCCAAUACUCAGUGAACUCCUACUAGGUAGGAUUGUUCCAGGCACUGGAUAUGUUGCAGUGGACAAACAAAAUCCUUGCCCUCAAGAAACUUAUGUUCUAAGGGGAUACAUCUAAUGGACAAAAAAUGGAUACUAUCAUUCAUGUAAUGUUAAGUACAAUGAAGAAAAUAGUGAAUAAAAUAGUUCCUCAAAUGGUAAUAACUUUUAUUUGGCUCAUGGUAAGGGAUUAUGUCCUGGUAUUUUGGUUGGGACAUUUUUCAUCAUGCUUCUCUUUUUUUGUGUCGCUUCUGGGGAUGGCCAUGCUCAACUUUGCCCUGACACCAGGGUCCUGUAUUUCCAUGUGGGUGCUUGUUGACUGACCGAUUCUUUAUCCCUAGGGUGUUACCUUAUUUUCUGGAGCGUUUCCACAAAUUGACUGCAAACCAAGAGUUUGACUGGUAUACUCCAAGCCAAGGGUAGAAGUUCCAGCCUCACUCUGGGAGGGUGUCCCUAGGAGAAUGUAGGCUUCCCAGGUCUGCACCAUGGUAGAAAGAGCAUCUGAGACAAAAGAGAAAGAUGGUUGCCUUUUCCGAGUCCUGUGCUGUACGAGGGGAAAGGUAAGGGGAAUGGAAAAAGGACAUGCUUACUCUUGGUCGUCUUCCCUCAUGAAGCUGUAGACUUGUGCUCAUAUCUUAUUAUGUGUUUAACGAUAGUCUUCCCACAACAUCUGUCUGCUUGUUCACUGCCGUCCUUGAUAAAUUGCUGUACUUGUUGAAUUGAAUUGAGUUUCGUUCUUUUAGGGAUUGUUAUUAAAUGGAAAUUGUGUUUGGAGGCUGCAGUUAUUUCAGGAGAUGUUUAUUGGAUGAACCCUGUCACAGGUUAGGGUCUCCAGGAAACAGACAGAGAUGGAGUUUGGCUUUCAGGAUGUUUGUUACAGAAUGCUCUUGGCACCAACACCCAUGCAAAGGAGGGGAGAUGGAGCAUAUUUGGUUAGAAGAUGUCAGAAGAUGUCAUACUCCCAUAUAGGUCCAACAGCAGCCACAGCUGACCCUUUGGGGACCUCUGGAGCUAAAAUGGCUCUUCAUGGUUGUAUCACUUCUCUAUUACUGAAUAACAUUUACCAUAAAACUUAUUUCGCUACUUCUUUGGGUCAGGAAUCUGAGCAUAGCCUAGCUGGGCCUUCUGUCUCAGGGACGUAACUGCACAAGGCCGCUGAUUGCAGGUGUCAGCUGUGGGCUAAGGUCUCACAUAGAGUGGGGAGGAUCUGUUCCAAGCUCACCCGUGUGGUCCUCCGCAGGUUUCAUUUCCUCAUAGGUUAUUGGCUGGAAGACUUAGUUCCUUACAAGCUGUUGGCUGGAGAUUCCCCUCUGUUCCUUGCCAUCUGGGCCUCACCAUUGAGCAUCACACAACACAGUGAACUGUUGGAAGGGCAAGUGAGUGUGUCAGUCAGAGAGAAGGUGAGAGGAGGCAAGAUGGCAGUCACCUUUUUUGUAAGUUAGUCAUGGGAAUGACCUUCUAUCAUGUUUGCAACAUUCUUUAUUAGGAACAAGUUACCAGUUCUAGCCCACAGGGGAUUCCAAACAGGCCCGAAUCCCAAGUUGGGCUGAGAUAGCCCUUAUAUCCCUGUGUGGAUCAGUCACUGGAUGUGGGCCACGUAGACAGAUACUUGGCCGUGGGUGAAGCAGCUGUCUGCAGCCGAGGCAGUCCCUGAAGACUGAAGGUGGAAGGCUUUCUGCUAAUAGCACUUCCAGCAGCUGGGGCAGUACGUUCUUCACUGAAGGAGGAUUGGAGAUGCGUAUCUUCAUGUGCGCCCCAAGUCCCAUUCCAUAUUCAGACUGCAUACCACCAUAUACAUCAAGCUUGGCUUAAUAGCAAAUUCUGUUGCUCCAUGAGUGACAGGAAGAAAGGGAACUGGAGACAAUUUCUAUUUGGUAUUUAUAUUCGCAAGGAAUGGUUGUACUUGACUGUAUUCCGUUUUUUAAAAUUUUCUUCUUUUUUGACCCCAGGUUGAAACUUUUUCUGAAAUUUAAGUAGAAACUUUAUCUGAAAAUAAAGUUGUGCUGUAACUAUAAAUCGUCUCAGGCCAUGGGUGUGAGGCCUAGGUGGGGGUUCAUUUGGUCACACUUCUCUUAGGAGUCUUGAGGAUUGCAUCUUUGUAGGGCAAGGACCGUGCAGGAGCCUGAGUGCACCCUUUCUCAUCCUGCUUUAUCAUUCAUCUCUAAUGUGGUUUGGAUAUUUGUACCCUCCAAAUCUCAUAUUGAAAUGUAAUCCCCAGUGUUUUGGGUUCAUAAGGAUAGAUCCUUCAUGAAUGGCUUGGUGAACUAUAGUGAGUUACCAAGAGAUGUGGUUGUUUACAAGAGUAUGGCACCUCCUCCUGCCUUGUUCCCUCUCUGGCUGCUCCCCCUUCGUCUUCUGCCAUGACUGUAAGUUUCCUGAGGUGCUCACCAGAAACAGAUGCCAGCACCGUGCUUCCUGUAUACCCUGCAGCACUGUGUGCCAUUCAACCUCUUUUCUUUAAUAAGUUACUCAGCCUCUGGUAUUUCUUCAUAGUGACACAAGAAUGGACUAAUCCAAUCUCCCAUUCCUUCUUCAUUGUAAACUUACACCCUUCAGACACCUUGAAUGUAAAAUCAAAAGAGGCUAUGAAACCUCUAGGUGACUUAUCCUCUUUGAAUUGUAAAAUCAAAGCGGGUAAAGCACCUCAGAGUUUCCAUAGAAGCAGAGCCCAAGAUGGGGAUUCUUCUGUAAGUAGGAGAGUGCAUUCGGGAGAAUGAAUAGGGCAAGGAAAUUAGUAUGUAAUGAGAUUGCCCCUGGGCACUAGCUGCAGUCUGAUCUCACAGGGAAAUCUGGAGCACAAAGUGCACCACAGAGUUGAUUCGUCUGCAAGGCAGGGGGUCCAGCCUUUUGUACCUCUGUGAUAGUCAUUGGCUAUGGUUGCAGUGUGGGGGUGUUUGGAGUGAGCAGGGAGCUAGUCUUUUGAUGAGGAUUCUCCCAGGAAUGGGGCUGAGAGGGUUUAUCAGCCAACACUCUUCACUCAGUUGCUGGGGAGAUGGAUGCAGUACCAGAGAAAACCUAGGCAAAGGGGCUAGAGUGAGGCACCAAAAUGCAUCUACUACAGUUCUUUCCUAUGCAGAGUCACCAUCUUUUCUCUAAAUUUUAUUCCCAAGGCUGUUUUUUUAAAAUGGAGUAAUGGGGAGAAUAGGCCUGGGAGUCACCUAGAUACAGACUGGAAUCAAAUUGUUAUUCUUUGAAAACUGGCUGCCUUGGAUAAAUUCUUUAACUUAAAAAUUUUAAAAAUUAUUAUUGUGAUUCUUUUAGAUAUGGGGUCUCACUAUGUUGCCCAGCCUAAACUUGAACUCCUGGGCUCAAGUAAUCUUCCCACCUUAGCCUCUGGAGUAGCUGGGACUACAGGUGUGCCCUACCAUGUCUGGUUUAACUUUUUAAGUGUCAGUUUUCCUGUCUGAGAAAUGGGUAUGGUAGCAUUUACCUCAUAGGGUUGUGGUGAGAACUGACAGGUGACAUUUGUUACAUGCUUAUCAUAGUGCUUUUCCUUUCUUUCCCCUUUUUUCCUUUUUGUAGCUAAACAGAAUAACCUCCAAUUUUCCUGCACAGCCCUUCAGAGUGUUUUUUUUUUGGACAAAGAUUUACUCUGUUGCCCAGGCUGGAGUGCAGUAGCAGGAUCUCAGCUUACUGCAAACUUUGCCUCCCAGGUUCAAGCAAUUUUUGUGUCUCAGCCUCUCCAGUAGCUGGGACUACAGGUGUACACCACCAUGCCUGGCUAAUUUUUGUAUUUUUAGUAGAGACAGGGUUUUGCCAUGCUGGCCAGGCUGGUCUCGAACUCCUGACCUCAAGUAAUCUCAUCUUGGCCUCCCAAAGUGCUAGGAUUGUAGGUGUGAGCCUGGCCCCUUUAGUGCUUGGAAGGCUGUUGUGCUGCUCCUCUCGACCUUCUACAUUCCUUGUUGAUCAUCCCUUUCCUUUUGCUCAUGUCACAGCCCUCCAGUCCCUGCAGUGUGCUAGUGUUCUCUGGGUGAGUUCCAGUUCAUCACCAUCCCUCUUACGAAGAUGCACUCAGAACUCAACAGGCUCUCCUCUCUGGGUGGUCUGAUGGGGCCUGGGCAGCAGAACUGCACUGCCCUCUGGGUCAUACACCAAACUCUUCAGCGAUGCUAUCCCAGAUUGCAUUUGCUUUUUGACAACUUUAGAGACUGCAGUUGCAAGUAGCAAGAAGAUUGAGAGCUCUUCAGGGUGUGCUGAAACAUUGCCCUGACUCCUUCCCAGACGUCUGUGGAGAUUUUUGGGCUCGCUUUCCUCAAGGUUUUCUCACUCAGGCAGCUGGAGCUGCAUAUCAACCAAAUAUUGCAUGUGUCAGAGCCAGCUCUCUUCCUUCAUGGACCUGUGUGUGUCAGCCUGUGCCGAAGAAUUAAAAUAUAUACGAGGAACAGUCUAUAGUAAUGGUAAUGAAAACACUGGGAGCUUUGGAAGCCAUGCGAGCUGACCUGGCUGAUUCUGACAGGCCUCUUAGAAUCUGGGCAUGCAUAGUUUGUACAGCUCCCCAGGUAACUUACUAAGCUAUCGUCCCCACCUUGAGAUUCACUGCUCUGCAGCUUCUGUUUCUUGAAAUAGGAGCUUUUCUACCUAGGUACUAAAAGUCCACCUGCAGAUGGACCAGAUGUUGUUAUAAAUUCCUUGAAGCAUCUGAAUCUUCACAAUGGCUCUAAACCCUUGGCUCUCUACAAGGGCAAGCGGCAUUUCCAGUUCUCCAAUCUCUGCAAUUUAUAUUUGCUUCUUCCCCUUUUAUUAGCCCCCUUCCUAACCUUCCCUGCCACCUUUUGCCAGAUGCCUGGAGCCUGGGUGGGCUUCCUGGCAAUGUAGGCCUUUCUCUCUACCCCAUCAACCCCGUUCAGGUCCAUCCCAGGAGGGGAAUCUCUCAUUUUUCAAAGAAUAAAUCUGUGAAAGAGGCAACAUUUCCAGAGCAGUAAAUCUUGACUUUGUGUGGCAGCGUGGCUGUGUGCACACGGCAGACAUCUGUGGCCUGUGUGUCUCAGAGAGGUCAGCAGGGCUGACAGCCCUACAGAAAAGGGCCUUUUACUUUCAAGAAAGUCAACAUCACAAGAGGGAAACACAUCUCAGGGAAGCAAGUGGAGUAUCAAACUCCUGAGAGAAAUGGGCUAGAGCUGAAGGAAGAGGCGUGCUGGGCAGAAAGCGUUCCCACAGUUGUUUGCUGCCCAGGACUGGCAGAGAGGAGGAGACGAUGCGUAGGAGUGCAAUUCCACAGUAGCCAUGGACCAUCAGAAAAAGACUCCCCUCCCCUUCCUUGGUAAAGUCUGUUUAAUGCUGUUUGGGGUGGUGGAAGAGCCUCCUGGCCUCCUCUCACUAUUCAGCAACUGGGUUUUGCUUUCUUAAACACAACACUGUAUUUCCUCUAUCCUGUCCAAAAGAAAUGGUCAGAAGAGAGCCUGGAGAAGAAUCUCCAUUGAGUUUAACUCUCUGAAGAGUUUCCUGAAAAGUUCUGAAUGAAAAGAAAACUUUUUCAACCAACAGUGAAUUCCCUAACCAACCCCAAACAAACCAGAUGCAUGGAGAGGUAAACUCUCUGGGCUGAAAUCGAGCUUAUUAGCUCUAGUUCUGAGAGGUGUGAAUGGGAUUGGGAGAUGGGGAGUGGCAGAGGUCAGCUGGAGGAUGAAGCUAAUUAUGACAGAGGGUCUGUCUCAGGACCACAGCAUUGCUAAUAUGUGGAGACCACCCUUGAUCUUUCAUGAUUGGGGAUAGAGGAACAAAGUGUAUAACUAAAAUCCACAAAGUCCUUCAUCUUUAUUUUAGCCAUUUUCCCUCCAAAUUACUUAAGGAAAAACAAAAAAUACAUAUGAUUAAAGAAUCUCCAUAGAAAUCAUGGGUCUGGUUGUUUAGUCAGGUCUGGGGAGAUACCAAGGCCCUGUUAAUGUGCAUAGUCUGAGAAAGAGUCUGUCUCCUUUUAACGAUGCGUGGAAUAUUGCUGCUAGAUGGAGGGUUAGGGGAGGCAGGUGGAGAGAGGGACGGAGGGCUCACAGGAGGGAAGAACAAGGAUUCAUUGUGACGUUUAUUACGUGGAGAAAAUGUGGUUCAGAGACAGAAUGAAAGCAUAAAAGGGAACCAGAGCAUGCUGCUGGAGCUGGGAAGAGGCAGACAGGCCCUAACUGGGGGUGCCCAGUGACAGAGAACCCCAUCUAGGUGAGCCAGGUGGGCCACCACCUGUGCCAAGGAUUUUAACUUGGAGGAAAAGGUGAGUAGAAUUCAGGGUCAGAAGCAAAAGUUCUCACUUCUCCAGAUACAGAAGUGGGCACAGGGAGAAGGGGUGAAUGAGAUGGACUGUGAUUCCCCCAGACUACAGUCUGGAGGAGAACUCGUGGGCUGGAAGAGAAGUGACACAGGAAACGCCAGAGUUUAAUGCUUUAAACCUGUACCAUGUUGGUUACAUCACAUGAUGUCAUAGGUACUAUGACUUUGUCUCACUUGAACAGAAUUUUCACCCUAGAUUCUGAGCAUGUCAUGCUGAGAAUACACAUGGGGAAAGCUACGAGAGAUCUCACUUCAAGCACAUUAUCUGUGAAGGCGCAUGAACACGCAAACUUCCUCAGCACCUCUAUCCCCUUUUUUGAUCUUUGGGUGAUGGUAAAAUGGUGUCCAGGGUGAGGCUCACCUUUUAAUUCAACUCCAGCAUUUUUCAGAGCUGGCAUGACAUUGCUAGAUUUGUUGGUCGGAGCCUCAUCUCUCAUUACUUCUCUUGUUUUCCCAUAGGAAAAGUGCUAGUGAACAGAAACACAGUCAACACCCAGUGUGCUCGCUAUUGAAACGCCGUGUAAUUGGCAGGCACUGCGCUAGGGCCGUGUGGACAGGGUAGAGAUGCAUGAGACAAACACAUAAAGACAGCCAACAGUGCGAGGCCGGCCCCAGAAUGACUGAAGUUGGCUGGGUUGAUCCUAAAUUACACGAAACAAGACCUUAUUACUGACAUCAUAAACAGGAAAGUUACUACUUAGCUCUGUGCAAUUAGGGCCCUAUGAGAAGGCAGGCCCAAUUAUUCAAGAGAAACUGGAAUAGUGUCCAGUUGAAAAUCGCCUCAGGGUUCAUUCACUCAUUUAGCAAAUAGUUACCAAAUGCUUACCAUACGCCAGUCCUUGGGGUACAGUGGUCAACAAGACACAUUAGGUCCCUGCCUUUCUGGGACUCAGUAUUUCCAGAUGGGGAAAGUGCUAUGGAGGAAAUGAAACAGGGUGAGGUACGCCGGCGUGUGUAAGGGUGGCCUCUCUGGAGGGGUGUGUGACUUGCCUGAUGAGAAGAAGCCUGUUGUGUGCAGAUCUGGAGGAAACAACAUUUCAGGCAGGGGGAAAAGAAACAUUGGUAGAGUGGGUGGUGGACUAGAAAGCAGGGUGGGAAAUUAAAGGGGGUGCUGGAGUUCGAAAAGACAUCUGUCAUCUGCGACAACACGGACGAAACUGGAGGACACUAUGCUAAGUGAAAUAAGCUGGGCACAGGAAGACAAAUAGCACCUGAUCUCACUUCUAUGUGGAAUCUAAAGAAGUUGAACUCAUAGAAGUAGAGAAUAAAAAAGUGGUUACUAGAGGCUGGGGGGAUGCGGGAAAUGGGAGGCUUGGUCAAAGGAUACACAUUUUCAGUUAGGGGGACUAAGCUUUGGUGAUUCAUUACACAGGUGGUGACUAUCACAAAUAAUAAUGCAUUCUAUAUUUCAAAAUUUAAAGGUCUCACCACAAAAAAACUGUAUGCGAGGAGGUAGAUUUGUUAAUUAGCCUGCUUUACUCAUUCCACAUUACAAUCAUAUAUCAAAACAUCAUUCCCCUAAUUAUUAGUGGUGAAUUAAAAGUUAACAUUUGGAACAAAAGUCACCUUCUGUCAGCAUUCCUAUUAUGAUUUUGGUGUGUUUCUGGUUUUCUUCAAAGGUCUUGUCGGCAUUUUCCCAUUGCAAUGCAGCAGCAGAGCAGAAGGGGAGAUGGCACAGGCCUUCCCAAGUUUGACCCAACUUGUCACAAGUGUGUGGAUCCUUUCUUUCCAUAGCCUGUCUCCACCCAGGGAUCAGUAGGCUGAGGGGGAUGAGAAGCGGAGGGGCACUCCAUAGUGUACUCAACCCUUCUGAACUGGAUUCUGUGAGAUGUGUAUGUCGGGUUCCAAUGUGCGGCCUGACCCUGUGGAGGCUCCAGUGGCCACCAUGUUAUCUCACAGGGCCACACCUCAGGCUUCUGGGACUCUGGCUCCAUUUUUUGAGUGCAAGUUUCUGGCUUCCAUUUUAAAGAGGCAAUUUUUCCUCGGAUGCACAUUUUUUAUACGGAUUCCAGAUCACCACCCAGUUUGAAAGCAUAUGCUGUCAGUCAGCACAGCGGAGGAGUGUACAAAAAUCUCCUCAUGAAGCACAGGCCCCUUUCCAGGGCCACAAAUCAAGCCCAGGCUCUCCCCUGCCUGGGGACAGAGGUGGGUUCUGCACGCCUGCCAUCCUCUAUCGGAGAGCUAGGUCAAACUCAGUUUUUUUUUAAAAAAAAAGAUUAUAGAAAUUAUAUGUGUAUGCAAAAACAUAUUGAUUUUCCCCACCCCAUGGCUGGUAAAAUGUGUUGCCCCCUCACCCCCAUUUUUUUUGGAACCUUUCUGAAUUAGAAACAACAUGAUGCUCAGUGCAGGGAAAAGAUUACUUUUCAGGCAGUAUAAAUCCAGCAAAAAGCGAGAUUCAUUGCAUGAAUGAAUCAUGAAUUUUUCCAACAGUCUCUUUUAAACUGAUGGUAUUUAGAGACCUAUUGGUCACUGUAAUGAGCCAGGCAGUUUCAGAAUACAAAACGGCCCUAGAGGUUUCCUGACCCAAAGCAAGAGGAAUGUCUUAUCUAUUUACCAAGUCGAUUUUCCUUCCCAUUGGUAACAUUGUAAACUGAGCUCUCAAGGCCUCAGGUUCAAAACCAGUCUUUAUAACUUUUGUUGAUUGAAACCUAAACAGCAGAGAGAUGCCUUUUCCCCUAACUUUUCUGGGCCUUUGGGAGGCAAUAUCUCUGUCCAUACUCUUAAUCUUGCUGAUAUGAUCCUUAAAAGCAUUGUGAAAGAUGGUACCUAAUUUAGCAUCUAGGACUGAGGGGAAGUGUAGACUUCCCGCUUCUCACUGGUUGUCUCAAAAAUAAUAUGGUGAGGCGUGGUGGCUCCCAGAACUUUGGGAGACCAAGGAGGGUGGCUUAUGAGAUCAGGAGUUCGAGACCAGCCUGGCCAACAUAGUGAAACCCUUUCUCUACUAAAAAUACAAAAAAUUAGCCAGGAGUGGUGGCAGAUGCCUGUAAUCCCAGCUACCCAGGAGGGUGAGGCAGGAGAAUGGCUUGAAGCUGGGAGGUGGAGUCUGCAGUGAACUGAGAUCGUUCCAUUGCACUCCAGCCCAGGCAACAGUGGGAGGCUCUGUCUCAAAAACAAAACAAAACAACCCCCCCACCCCUCAAACAAACAACAUGAGCUUCACUUUAUAUUAAAGCUUUUUCUUAACAGUCCAAAAGGUCGGACUUAGAAUUCUGUGAGCUAGAUUGGCAUUUUAGAACUUUGUUUUUAACAGAGGUCAGCCACUACUAAAAUGAAACUCAUACCUUACACCAGUGGUUCUCAAUGUGUGGUCCCCGAGCACCAGCAUCACAGGCAUCUGAGAACUUGUUAAUAGCGCAAAUUCUCAGGCCCCACCUUAAAACCUACUGAAUCAGUAACUCUGGGGGUUGCACUUGGCAAUCUGGUUUCAACAAGUUCUCUGGGUGAUUCUAAUGCAUGCAAAAGCUUGAGAACCACUGCUAUAAACCAGUAACAUUCAAUGUUAAAUAAUGUGUUAAACUUAAUUUUUAAAUAUUAAUUGAAUAACUCUAUAUAGAAAAUAAGUCACAUCUCCGCCUCAUAUGUUAGUGUCCUACUCACUCCAAUCCCUAGCUUCGAUGGUAGGCCAGACUUCUUCCUUGACAUGGCAACAACGACAACAACAGGACCUGGACAGAGGAGACGGAGGCAGCACUAUAUUCCUCAGUUAAAUAUAUCUCUACAGACGUGUUCCCUACCCUUUCUCCUGGCUUUGAGGUAGAGAAUCUCUUCUGGCUGAGGGUGCUGGGGUGAGAGAUGUGUCUAACUUUCUCUUCAUUUUCUCUCCACGCAUACCUCAACUCUACCUUAAAAAUACAGCAAGAAAACCAAUCGGUGUUGUCAGUUCUAAGAAACUGAGUGCCAAGAGCAGGUAGAUACGUUUAAGGCACAAAGUUUCUUACUGGUAAUUCUAUUCUUUUUAAAUUUAAAAUACAAAAUAGAUUUGUGUCAAGAAAUAGUGUAAUUCCAAUCUUCACUAAUAGGAUAUAUUAUUUUUGAAAUGCAGAAAAUUUAUUGGUGAAAUUAAACAGCCUCUAACAAUUGAACAGUUAAUGACUGCAUCACAUUAAUUGUGAGGGGUGAGGAUAGAAUUAUCAGGAUUCUGCCAGGGGCACUGGAUUCUGAAUCUUUUUAAAUUAAAAAAACAAAGUACUUGUAAUCCCAGCACUUUGGGAGGCCGAGGCGGGUGGAUCACGAGGUCAACAGAUCGAGACCAUCUUGGUCAGCAUGGUGAAACCCCGUCUCUACUAAAAAUACAAAAAAUUAGCUGGGCACGGUGGUGCGUGCCUGUAAUCCCAGCUGCUCGGGAGGCUGAGGCAGGAGAAUUGCCUGAACCCAGGAGGCGGAGGUUGCAGUGAGCCGAGAUCGCGCCAUUGCACUCCAGCCUGGGAAUAAGAGCGAAACUCCGUCUCAAAAAAAAAACAAAAAAAAGUACUACACAUGUAUGUAAUUAAUAUCGACAAAUCUGUAAUACAAAGCUGCAUAUAUUUAGUAGAAAUCAUAUGUCUGAAAUCCAUCAUGACUUUCUUUUCCUGCUGGUAGCAGUUUUCCACACUUCCCAUAGGAAAGCACCCCUCAUCCAUUUCAAACUUGGCAGUUUCAUUUGGGUGGCUCCAACCUUGGUUCCAGGGCUGGACCUAAUUGGCUUAAGUAAACAGGGAGCUUGCCAUCUCCCAGCCAUAAUGAUUGGUUCAGGGAUGGUGAUGUAGUCCAUUCGGAGCCAAUGGGAAUCAGGAUGACAUUUGCUGGAAAUUCUGGGGAAAUGACCUUGUCUUUCUUGCUCUGAAUUCAGUGGUAGAUGUAAGCUUGGUGCCCCUGCAUUCCUGCCAUAGUGAAGCAGGCCCAGUGAGGAAGGGUCUGGAGAAAAAGAGCCAGAAAUGUAGAAGAACUGGGCCAACAACACCUGGAUCAAACAUGGCAGAAACCAGCCAUAUUCCUAGAUUUUGAGAUCUGUGAGCCAACAUCCCCUUUUCCUGUUUUAGGCAGUUUUUUUGUGUUAGUUUGUUUUGUUUUUGGUCAUUGGCAACUCAAGGAAUCCUCAGAGUCAUGGUCUUACUGCCAAAAUCAUGAUGAAUAAGAUUUAGCCUAUCCUUGGAUGUUUCAGAAGGCUCUUUGGGAAUUUCCAAGUGUCAUUGCUUGUAUUAAUAUUUUCUUAUUUUCUGUACUCUUGAUGCUUUGGCAUCUGGGGCUUCAUUGCCUGGGAAGUGACUGCCCUUUCUAGGACUAGUUAAUUAUAGAGAUAGCAAAGGACUCGUCCAGAAGUGUGCCUUAUAUAUGCAAACUAACUAACCAAUCUGGAGCUCAUACUUUGAACCACCUUCUCUAUAUGGCUCCUACACUUGAAGAGGCAAAAUUCCUCUGCUCUAAUCAUCCUAGGGCCAGGUACCAGACAACUAGAGACAGUUCUCAUAUUCCAGAGCCCACUGAAAUUAUUCAAAGUUAAUUAUAAACUACUUACCCUGCCUUGCCUUCCCUGUGCAAACUACAAUAAAAGCUCCUGCCCACAUCUUCCCCUUGUUCCUUUUGCCUCCUGACCCACCUGGUAUUUCCCACAUGGCCCUUUGUAGGAUGCCUCCUUCUCAGGCAUUACGGGUGAUAAAUAAUCUUUUCAAUGGCAGUUGUCCCAUAACCUGCUGGCUAAAUAAUAAGAAAACCUACAUUUUAAAGCACUGCCAUGAAAUGAGCAUAUCAAAAGAAGCAGAGUGUUGUAGGUGUCAGAGGGCUGUUCUCAUGAAUAUUCCUGUAGGGGGUGGGGGGACAGAGAAUGUCUUUUUCUAAAUUGCCUUUUGCUUUUGUUCUAAGUGUGUUAAUGAGCACCAAAGCCAUUUAUCCUGCACACCAAAAGGUAAUGGUGAUUGGGAUCCUGUGUUCUUUCAUAGAUUUAUUGUAUUUUAUUUUUAGUGCUUUGAUGGUAGUGGUAGGGAGAUGAAAAAAGGUCAAAAUAUGUGCAAAUUGUGAUGCACAAGUUUUAUAUGGUUCCACUUUUUCAUCCUAGUGGGCCUCUGAGGGUAAAAGCAUGAUAGAGAGAUAUUACAUCAAUUUGUCUCAUAAUUUUAAAGAUACUGAUUUUAAUCUAAGAAUUUCUUGUAAUCAGUAAAUGGUUUAGGAAUCAGAAAGGUGUCAUCUUUCACCUAUUCCUCACUUCCAAAGGAAAAAAUCCAGUAAAUCCAAAUUUCCUACUUUGUUCUGCUGCUGAUUGGUGCCAGGAAUCAUUUUUUAUGGCUGGCAAAACUAACAGAUCAAGCAGUAUAAGGAAGUAAGCAGCUCAGGUUCACUGUUUGGGGUUCUUAACGUGUAGUUACCUACUCUGGAGAGCCGAAGGCUGGAGUUCAUUUAUUCUCACAUUCAUACAUUUGUAAUGGGAUGCUUAGCAAAGACUGAAUGUUACAUUUUUGAAAGCUGAAAAAUGGUUUUGGGGAUUGCAAGUAGUUUCUGAAUUAUCUUUGUGUAGAGCCUUCUAUGGCAGUCUGGGUGCUUGGUUUCAAGCAAUAGAAACCAAGGCUGAAUACCUUAGGCUGAAAAGUGAAUUUUUGGAAGAAUAAUGGAAGCACAUUAUCUUACAAAGCUAUAGGGAAGGCUCAAGAAUUCCACUUGGAAAAUGGGCAGAAGCCGAAGUUGGCUUCAGUAGAGAAAAGUGGUUCGGGAUAUGGGCCUCAUUGCUACGGUGUAUUGCUGUCAUUGCUAGACUCAGCUACUAUUUGACACAGCCACAUCUGGGACAUAAGCUACUCUUUUACCCCUGGGUUCAUUGUCUUGUGUGUGUGACUGUGUAGAUACAGUAUCACGUAUUAACUGCCAACUCAGAGCCUAUGCAGCAUCCUAUAGGACUGCGUUCCCAUAUCAGUCAUCCUGAGCGUUCAGUGCAUCAUUGUACCAUUCCAUUAGCUGACUUUGAGCAAUAGGGUUCAUUGUAGUACAAUUAAGUUCCAUGGGCAUCUGUCAAAUUGCCUUAUUUUUUUUCUAUGAAGUGGACCCCUUGGUCAGAAACAGUGUUCUAUGUGAUGUAAUUGUAUAAGGUAUGUACAAAGCAUAUAGAAAGUCCAAUAGUGGAUAUAUUGUCAGAACCAUGAUGGAUAGAUUGUCAGAAUCAUGAUGGUUAAGGCAGAUAAAGAAAAUUCACAUUGAAAAAUGUGUCUAUUCUGGUGAGAACAAAUUGAUGCCCCUCCAUGAUGGUGACGGCAGUGCUCCAAUAUAAGCAACAUCAGCUGGUGGCUGGUUGCUCUCCUGUGGUACAGGGUCAUAUCAGGGAUUCUGAGGAGAGUGCUACUUGUGAAUUGAAGGAGGUUCUCUUUUUGUUUUUUCAUCUAAUGGGAGCAUUAGUAACCAAUAGCAGGCUAUAAAGAUGCUAAUUGAAACAGGAAUACUCCACAGAAAGGGAAAAGUGGUGAUGUGGGGGAGAGAGAUACCUGCUGUAGUCCUCUGAGUAGGCGAAUAGGGAUUGAUACAGUUUAACGGUGUCUCCACCCAAAUAUCAUCUUGAUUUUCAUGUGUUGUGGUAAGGACCCGGGGGAUGUAAUUAAAUCAUGGGGGCAGGUCUUUCCCAUGCUGUUCCUGUGAUAGUCUCACUAGAUAUGAUGGUUUUAUAAGGGGAGUUUCCCUGCACAAACUCUCUUUGUCUGCUGCCAUCCAUGUAAGAGGUGACUUGCUCCUCCUUGCCUUCCACCAUGAUUGUGAGGGUUCCCCAGCCAUGUGGAACUGUAAGUCCAUUAAACCUCUUUCUUUUGUGAAUUGCCCAAUCUUGGGUAUGUCUCUAUAAGCAGCAUGAAAAUGGACUCAUACAGGGAUGAACUCCAUUGUACCAGUGAAGGGUUAGCAGGAGCAGGGAUGGUCCAUUUAUUUCAGUGGGUGGGAAAGGAGAGCAAGCAGGUACAGACAUUCCUCAUUUGUUCUUAUUUUUUCAGUGAAAUGAAGCAUGGAACUAUCAGCUAAAGAUGGGGUUGGAGAAAGGAGAUAUUGGAGGAGAUUACAGCUAUCAAGGAAAGCUGAAAAGAUGUAAAGUGACUGAGGUGGAUGACACAUCCCCCAAUGCUGGUCACCCACCAAACAUGCAGAGGAGCCGUCAUCUUGAUGCAGGAUGGAUGCCGUCUUGUCCUGUCCCAAGAUGCCACAGGGAGUGUUUUCUCUGCUGGAACUAGGAUGGGCAGCUCACCAGGAGGUGACCACUGAAGGAAGAGGAAGGCACUUGCAGUUCUUCAGAGACAGCCUGUGACAGUUGGAACAGAAGGCUGGACUGCAGUCCUCCGCAUGCUGAGUUUGCAUUUAAAGGGGGGAGGGAGCUCUCUUAAUUUCUGAUGAGUUUUCCUGGUUGCCUUGAAAUUGAACUGAGUGUUCCCCAGUGUCGUCAUUUUUGUUUCACGAGGUGAACUGCUCUUAGAGAGUCCUACUCUGAGGUGGGAGAUAUGUGAGCCCGCAAUCUUCUCUGCGGGACUCAGUUCCUGCUGCCUCCCCUUCAGACACACUUGGCUGGCAGGUGGACCACUGGGAAAGCACCCCUUGCUCU